Molecule: long non-coding RNA, 550 nt
Organism: Neltuma alba
Lineage: Eukaryota; Viridiplantae; Streptophyta; Magnoliopsida; Fabales; Fabaceae
Exons: 3
Source: RefSeq, a predicted model, not a curated record
CUUCACCCUAGCGUCGCGGCCUCCUUGCUCUGUCUCUCUCGGACGGAAAUCUGAACCUCACCGUUGCUCCGCAAGCGAAAAUCGGAAGCUCGCCGUUGCUUGCUCAUCCUAGCUCGCUAUCGUCGUUGCUCGAAGAGUUGAGGCCUCGCGUUUGCCGUUGCUAUCGUGCUCGGAAAUCUGAAGCCUCAACCUAGCCGACGCCUUAACCUUGCUCGGAGACUCACUCCCUCGCUCACCCCGUAGGCUUAGUUGUUGCAAGUGCCUUUGUGUUGUGCUUGCCUCUCACUUUAUGAUUGAGUGGCUUUCCAUGGAGCUACCGGCAAACAUCUUUUGCAUGGACUGGCUUAUGACAAUGAUCACACCAUUUGCCAUUUCUUUUCCCUCUACUGCCAUCUCUUUGGAAUCCUUCGGAGAGCAUAGCUCCAGAUUCAGCUUCAGUAGAAUGUGGCUGUUUGAUUGAGCCUCCCAUGCCUCUUGUGCUGACUGGAACUGAGAAAUUGGCGCUGAUUUCAAUGGUCACUGAAUUCACCAUCUAUGAUUGAAUAAUCAA